UUAAAAUGUAUUUUAAAAAUCUAAGGUAGUAAUAGUUAUGUUCUAGAAAUUUAAAAAAUUUGGCGGUAUUUUAGUCUAUUCAGAGGAAUCUGUUUUAUAAUCGAUAAUCCACGAUGGACCUUACUUAAAUUUGUUUUCAGUUUAUAUACCGUCGUUAUUAGAAUAUUUUAUAAGAAAGUUAAUUUUCUAAAUUUUAAAAAAGAAAUUAUAUCAGAUCAAGGUGUAGCUUAUAUUUAAGAAUAAAUGGAUUACAAUAAAAAUAUUUAAAUGGAUAUAAAUUUGAAAUAUUUAUUGAAAGUGGAUUUGAUAGUAAAUUUAUAAAGAUUAAUAAUUUGAUUUUAGCUCUAAAAUAUGU
Molecule: ribosomal RNA, 355 nt
Filed under: Linnaemya picta
Lineage: Eukaryota; Metazoa; Arthropoda; Insecta; Diptera; Tachinidae
Description: partial 12S ribosomal RNA
Source: RNAcentral